This 68-nucleotide transfer RNA is filed under the name Lepus americanus (snowshoe hare). Its description in RNAcentral is "tRNA-Phe". It matches the Rfam family "tRNA". From Rfam's summary of the family: Transfer RNA (tRNA) molecules are approximately 80 nucleotides in length. Their secondary structure includes four short double-helical elements and three loops (D, anti-codon, and T loops). Lineage: Eukaryota; Metazoa; Chordata; Mammalia; Lagomorpha; Leporidae. RNAcentral also lists the same sequence under 1 other name. The record is from RNAcentral.
GUUAAUGUAGCUUAACAAAAAGCAAAGCACUGAAAAUGCUUAGAUGAGCUUCCUAGCUCCAUAAACAC